This is a long non-coding RNA of Triticum aestivum (bread wheat), 1163 nucleotides long. RefSeq lists it as uncharacterized. Lineage: Eukaryota; Viridiplantae; Streptophyta; Magnoliopsida; Poales; Poaceae. The record is from RefSeq and is a predicted model, not a curated record. The transcript has 5 exons.
UCUGCCCCAAAUUGAACCCUAUUCCACAAGUCCUCCUCCAAGACCAGCGCCGCCGCCGCCGCCCUCGACCUCCUCCACCAACCAGUGCGCCCCCCAUCGGCGUACGCGCCUCAUGACGCCGACUCGUCAUCGCCUUCCUUCGGCACCGCCACCGGGGCGGGUCAACUGUGGCGGUGUGUCGAGGUCGAAGUCAACGUCGCCUCCCUCUCCAGCCCUAGAUCCCGUGGCGAAAAUCGCCACCACCAUACCGGCGCGCUCUUCUCCAUGGCCCUCCAAGGUAACGAGCACGGGUGAGCUCCCCACCACAGCUCCCUCCAUCCCAACGGCAUGAGAGGUGCUCAGAUCCAUCACGCUGGACAACACGCUGCUCAGAUCCGUCAUGCUGGAGUCUCCUCCUCUUUCCCAUGUACUCCUUUGCUGCUCAGAGGAGGCAGUAGAAUAACUACAAAAGAAGAAGGAAUCUGAUGUCCCAACAAAGCAGAUGUGAAGAGCGCUCCAGGGAGAAAGAAGAAGGAAACAACAAUCUUGCAAACGAAUAAAGAAACAACAGCUUCAUGACAAAAAAUUUCAUGAGUGGAAAUCCUUUUUAAUGGACUGAUGGUGGGACUUGGGAGCAAAGCUCCCGGAGCGGAGGGAGUGCCAGCACAAUCGCGCGGAGCAGUUCGAACCCGGCUCCUCGCGCGGAGCGGAGUUGAGAAUCUGGAGAGCUUCCGCAGGCAGUAACUUUUGCACAAAUUUGGUUACGAGUCAUUGCUUUUUGCACAAAUUUGGUCAUGGGGUUGGCAUCAUCACUGGAAGAUGUUUCUACAUGAUGUUUCUUCUCUUCGUAUUAACAUCUUAAAAGCAUUACAAAUUCGUAACUCUUCUGCUGGAGACAUGUGGCCAUCUUCGAAUAAUGCAGCUUCAUUGGAUGGUGUGAGUUUGGUAUUCAGAUGAAUAUGUUAAUUCCAUCAAAGAAACGGCUUGAGCAGAAAUGUACAAAAGAGUAAUCAUGCAACUUGUAUUCCUGGACAUGGCUACAGCUAUGCACUAAAGUUAAACCAUUUGUGUAGCUCAGUCUAAGGACACAAAAUCUUAUCGUCUUAUGUAAAUUUUGUUAACCGUUGUAGCUAGAUGCUACUAAACACAUGUAUGGAAAUAAGCUUAUUCGUACUGAACUUUUA